UGAGGUCANGCAAGAACACCC
RNAcentral lists this ribosomal RNA (21 nucleotides) under Trebouxia jamesii. Its description in RNAcentral is "partial 26S ribosomal RNA". Lineage: Eukaryota; Viridiplantae; Chlorophyta; Trebouxiophyceae; Trebouxiales; Trebouxiaceae. The record is from RNAcentral.